RNAcentral lists this ribosomal RNA (253 nucleotides) under uncultured bacterium. Its description in RNAcentral is "partial 16S ribosomal RNA". It matches the Rfam family "Bacterial small subunit ribosomal RNA", at positions 57 to 305 of the family's 1533-position model. The record is from RNAcentral.
GCAAGUCGAACGAGGUCCAUGGAGCUUGCUCCAGAAGACCUAGUGGCGAACGGGUGCGUAACACGUGAGAAACCUGCCCUGAACUUGGGAAUAACAGUUGGAAACGACUGCUAAUACCGAAUACCUUCACGACGUCGCAUGGCGAUGUGAAGAAAGCUUUAUGCGGUUUAGGAGGGUCUCGCGACCUAUCAGCUAGUUGGUGAGGUAAUGGCUCACCAAGGCGACGAUCCCUAGCUGGUCUGAGAGGAUGAUC